Molecule: long non-coding RNA, 920 nt
Filed under: Pan troglodytes (chimpanzee)
Lineage: Eukaryota; Metazoa; Chordata; Mammalia; Primates; Hominidae
Description: long non-coding RNA NONPTRT014251
Source: RNAcentral
CCAGCUGAACCCUGCUUCUCACUUGAGGUCCUUCCCACCUGUCAGCUGGUGUGGCAAGAACAAAGCUCAGAGGCCAAAAUAAAUGAGGUGCCAGAGUUUGGUUUAUUGGCUCAUCCAGUGCCAAAGGUCCAAUGGGCACCCUCUUCCCAAGGAACCGGGAGCCCCCUGGGGCGGGUGUGAGCAGAGGCUGGGUUCUGCCAGGGGUCUUAGGGCCCAGUCUGCUUGGUACAGGAUGGGGACCCUGGGCAAGAGGGGAUGGACCCCAGGGGCAGAGGAGAGGGGCCCACUCAGCAGGGGCCUGUACCAGACAGAGCAGGGGUGGGCCCUGAGGAGCACGGGAGUCCAGCCCAGGGGCACGGUGGCAAUGGGGUGACCUAAAAGGGAGCAAGGUCAUAGGAGCAGGUGAGAGGCCCCCCAGAUCCCCGUUCUCUCAUGGGCUGGGUCCUCUGAGGCUCAGAGCCUAGGAGGGAGGGUUGAGCAGGGAAAGGGCCAGAUGACUGUGGGGCUCAGGGUGGGAGGAGGCGACUGCUGGAGGGACAGUCCUUGACCCAAACUCCCCCGAGCCCUAGACCCAGAAAGACACACUCACACAGCCCUGGACCCCCCUUUUUAAUGUGGGAACAUGUGGCACUCAGCCCCACCCAAUGACCAGGAAAAGAGCCCCCAGCUGCGGCUCUGGCCUGGCCAUCCUGGUCGCUGAAGCACAGGCCAACCCCUGUCUUCCAUCCACAGCUGCACCUGGAGGCCCCACCCAGGGUCCCCAGCGUCCUCCCUGUGUGCUCCCUUUCCCCCAUGUGCCUUCAGGCCUGUCCUUGGUCCAUCUGGGCUAGGACAUCCCCCUACCUGCUCCCAAACCAAGGCGAGCAGUGGAGACACGAUAGGACCUCUGAGAAGCGGAUGGCUAUGGGCUUCAGCAAGGC